Artibeus jamaicensis (Jamaican fruit-eating bat) is the source of this 201-nucleotide long non-coding RNA. RefSeq lists it as uncharacterized. The record is from RefSeq and is a predicted model, not a curated record. The transcript is spliced from 3 exons. Lineage: Eukaryota; Metazoa; Chordata; Mammalia; Chiroptera; Phyllostomidae.
AUGUUCCUGAUUUUAUACAGACUGCCAUGACUCCCUACGUAAAGAACAUUCACAAAUAAGCUGAUGGAUCUUGCUGUAGGUGAUACCAUCUGUGUCACAACAGGAAGGGGAAUGGAAUGAAAGGAGGCUCUGCAGAGAUCAGCUAUCACAGACCUAGAGAGUGGGAAGAAGUUUCCAGACACCAUGAGAGGCAUGAACGUG